GAUGAACGCUAGCGGCAGGCUUAAUACAUGCAAGUCAAGGGGGUAGCAAUACAACCGGCGCACGGGUGAGUAACGCGUACACAACAUACCAUAUACUGGAGUAUAGCUUUGGGAAACUGAAGGUAAUCCUCCAUAACAUUGCGAGAGGGCAUCUGAUUGCAAUUAAAGUUUCGGCGGUAUAUGAUUGGUGUGCGUUUGAUUAGCUAGUUGGUAGGGUAACGGCCUACCAAGGCGACGAUCAAUAGCUGGCGUGAGAGCGCGACCAGCCACACUGGAACUGAGACACGGUCCAGACUCCUACGGGAGGCAGCAGUAGGGAAUAUUGGACAAUGGAGGAAACUCUGAUCCAGCCAUGCCGCGUGAUAGAUGAAGGCCCUCUGGGUUGUAAAUAUCUUUUAUCUGGGAAGAAACACUCCUAUUCUUAGGAACUUGACGGUACCAGAGGAAUAAGCACCGGCUAACUCCGUGCCAGCAGCCGC
RNAcentral lists this ribosomal RNA (479 nucleotides) under uncultured bacterium. RNAcentral describes it as "bacterial SSU rRNA". It matches the Rfam family "Bacterial small subunit ribosomal RNA", at positions 28 to 518 of the family's 1533-position model. The record is from RNAcentral.